ACUCCUACGGGAGGCAGCAGUAGGGAAUAUUGGUCAAUGGGCGAAAGCCUGAACCAGCCAUGCCGCGUGUCAGAUGAAGGUCCUCUGGAUUGUAAAUGACUUUUCUACGGGAAGAAUGAGCCGUCUGCGGACGGAAGUUGACGGUACCGUAGGAAUAAGCACCGGCUAACUACGUGCCAGCAGCCGCGGUAAUACGUAGGGGUGCAAGCGUUGUCCGGAUUUACUGGGUUUAAAGGGUACGUAGGCGGUUGUGCCAAGUCUGGGGUGAAAGUUUGCAGCUCAACUGUAAAAUUGCCUUGGAUACUGGUCGGCUAGAGUAGUGGAGCGGUGGCUGGAAUUUAUAGUGUAGCGGUGAAAUGCUUAGAUACUAUGAGGAACACCAAUUGCGAAGGCAGGUCACUGGUCACUAACUGACGCUGAGGUACGAAAGUGUGGGGAUCAAACAGGAUUAGAUA
This 455-nucleotide ribosomal RNA is filed under the name uncultured bacterium. RNAcentral describes it as "bacterial SSU rRNA". It matches the Rfam family "Bacterial small subunit ribosomal RNA", at positions 335 to 784 of the family's 1533-position model. The record is from RNAcentral.